ACCCCUACGGGACGCAGCAGUGAGGAAUAUUGGUCAAUGGGCGGGAGCCUGAACCAGCCAAGUCGCGUGAAGGAAGAAGGUACUUAGUAUUGUAAACUUCUUUUGUCGGGGAACAAAGGCGGAGACGCGUCUCCGGAUGAGUGUACCCGAAGAAAAAGCAUCGGCUAACUACGUGCCAGCAGCCGCGGUAAUACGUAGGUGGCGAGCGUUAUCCGGAAUGAUUGGGCGUAAAGGGUGCGCAGGCGGUCCUGCAAGUCUGGAGUGAAACGCGGGAGCUCAACUCAUGCAUGGCUUUGGAAACUGGG
Molecule: ribosomal RNA, 305 nt
Filed under: uncultured bacterium
Lineage: Bacteria
Description: bacterial SSU rRNA
Rfam family: Bacterial small subunit ribosomal RNA
Source: RNAcentral